RNAcentral lists this transfer RNA (72 nucleotides) under Phytophthora infestans (potato late blight agent). RNAcentral's name for it is "tRNA-Pro". It matches the Rfam family "tRNA". Rfam says of the family: Transfer RNA (tRNA) molecules are approximately 80 nucleotides in length. Their secondary structure includes four short double-helical elements and three loops (D, anti-codon, and T loops). The record is from RNAcentral. Lineage: Eukaryota; Oomycota; Peronosporomycetes; Peronosporales; Peronosporaceae.
CCCCUUGUAGCUCAGUGGUCGAGCGCUGGCUUUGGAAGCCACAGGUCGAUGGGUCAAAUCCACCCGGGCGCA